CCUACGGGUGGCAGCAGUGGGGAAUAUUGGACAAUGGGGGCAACCCUGAUCCAGCCAUGCCGCGUGUGUGAAGAAGGCCCUCGGGUUGUAAAGCACUUUCAGUGAGGAAGAACGCCUGGUGGUUAAUACCCAUCAGGAAAGACAUCACUCACAGAAGAAGCACCGGCUAACUCCGUGCCAGCAGCCGCGGUAAUACGGAGGGUGCGAGCGUUAAUCGGAAUUACUGGGCGUAAAGCGCGCGUAGGUGGCUUGAUAAGCCGGUUGUGAAAGCCCCGGGCUCAACCUGGGAACGGCAUCCGGAACUGUCAAGCUAGAGUGCAGGAGAGGAAGGUAGAAUUCCCGGUGUAGCGGUGAAAUGCGUAGAGAUCGGAGGAAUACCAGUGGCGAAGGCGGCCUUCUGGACUGACACUGACACUGAGGUGCGAAAGCGUGGGUAGCAAACAGGAUUAGAUACCCCGGUAGUC
RNAcentral lists this ribosomal RNA (464 nucleotides) under Vreelandella stevensii. RNAcentral describes it as "partial 16S ribosomal RNA". It matches the Rfam family "Bacterial small subunit ribosomal RNA", at positions 338 to 795 of the family's 1533-position model. The record is from RNAcentral. Lineage: Bacteria; Pseudomonadati; Pseudomonadota; Gammaproteobacteria; Oceanospirillales; Halomonadaceae.